RNAcentral lists this ribosomal RNA (254 nucleotides) under uncultured bacterium. RNAcentral's name for it is "partial 16S ribosomal RNA". It matches the Rfam family "Bacterial small subunit ribosomal RNA", at positions 524 to 776 of the family's 1533-position model. The record is from RNAcentral.
UACGGGGGGAGCAAGCGUUGUUCGGAUUUACUGGGCGUAAAGGGCGCGUAGGCGGUCAGCACAAGUCAGUUGUGAAAUCUCCGGGCUUAACUCGGAAAGGUCAACUGAUACUGUGCGACUAGAGUGCGGAAGGGGCAACUGGAAUUCUCGGUGUAGCGGUGAAAUGCGCAGAUAUCAGGAGGAACACCGAUGGCGAAGGCAGGUCUCUGGGCCAUAACUGACGCUGAGAAGCGAAAGCAUGGGGAGCGAACAGG